RNAcentral lists this ribosomal RNA (301 nucleotides) under uncultured bacterium. RNAcentral's name for it is "partial 16S ribosomal RNA". It matches the Rfam family "Bacterial small subunit ribosomal RNA", at positions 509 to 807 of the family's 1533-position model. The record is from RNAcentral.
CAGCCGCCGCGGUAAUACGUAGGUGGCAAGCGUUGUCCGGAAUUAUUGGGCGUAAAGGGCUCGCAGGCGGUUUCUUAAGUCUGAUGUGAAAGCCCCCGGCUCAACCGGGGAGGGUCAUUGGAAACUGGGAAACUUGAGUGCAGAAGAGGAGAGUGGAAUUCCACGUGUAGCGGUGAAAUGCGUAGAGAUGUGGUGGAACACCAGUGGCGAAGGCGACUCUCUGGUCUGUAACUGACGCUGAGGAGCGAAAGCGUGGGGAGCGAACAGGAUUAGAUACCCGUGUAGUCCCUGUCUCUUAUAC